AGAACAAGCCAUUUAUAAAAAUUUUGUUUUUUAUAUAUAGAUAGACAGAUAAUUUUCAACAAUUCUUCAUAGCGCUUAGCGCAUCACCUAAUUCUGUGAUGAGCAAGCCUAAAAAAAAAUUAGGAAUAAGAACAUGUAUGAAAACUAAAAAGGGUUUUAUACUUUAGGAACUACAUACAUCAAAAACAUUUAUUCAAAACCAAAUCUCACGACCAAACCUCGCAAUAAAGCUGGAUAAUCAGGAUUAGCGAUUUUUUGUUUUCCUGAGACCCGGAGUGUCUGUGUCAAGACCAAGAAGGGAAAAUACCAGACGCGCCGAUCACCUAUUUUUCGGAUAAGCUACUGACUGACUCAGAUGAAUUUUUUGAAAAAUUAAAAAACAGAAAAAAAUUGUGUUCAACUAAAUAAUGAAAAAUAAAUAAUAGUUUAAAAAAACUCAAAAAAUACGCUUUUAUAGAACUUCAACUAAAACAUAGAAAAAAAAUGAUUUUAUUGUCAAAAAGGCGUGGGGUGCAUGCUAUCAAUAGUUAUAAAUAUUUUGAUAAUAUCCUGAAAAGCACACCACGCUUUUUUUACAAUAAAAUAUUUUUUCUUCCACUAUUUUUAAUACAAAUUUAAUAAAAUUUAUUUUCUAUUUUUA
Molecule: long non-coding RNA, 640 nt
Organism: Bombyx mori (domestic silkworm)
Lineage: Eukaryota; Metazoa; Arthropoda; Insecta; Lepidoptera; Bombycidae
Exons: 2
Source: RefSeq, a predicted model, not a curated record